UAGGGAAUCUUCCACAAUGGACGCAAGUCUGAUGGAGCAGCGCCGCGUGAGUGAAGAAGGUCUUCGGAUCGUAAAACUCUGUUGUUAGAGAAGAACACGAGUGAGAGUAACUGUUCAUUCGAUGACGGUAUCUAACCAGCAAGUCACGGCUAACUACGUGCCAU
Molecule: ribosomal RNA, 164 nt
Filed under: uncultured bacterium
Lineage: Bacteria
Description: partial 16S rRNA
Rfam family: Bacterial small subunit ribosomal RNA
Source: RNAcentral